This 329-nucleotide unclassified non-coding RNA is filed under the name soil metagenome. Its description in RNAcentral is "partial contains 5.8S ribosomal RNA, internal transcribed spacer 2, and large subunit ribosomal RNA". The stretch from base 1 to 120 matches the Rfam family "5.8S ribosomal RNA", at positions 35 to 154 of the family's 154-position model. The record is from RNAcentral.
GAUGAAGAACGCAGCGAAAUGCGAUAAGUAAUGUGAAUUGCAGAAUUCAGUGAAUCAUCGAAUCUUUGAACGCACAUUGCGCCCCCUGGUAUUCCGGGGGGCAUGCCUGUCCGAGCGUCAUUACAACCCUCAAGCUCAGCUUGGUGUUGGGCCCCGCCGCCCCGGCGGGCCCUAAAGUCAGUGGCGGUGCCGUCCGGCUCCGAGCGUAGUAAUUCUUCUCGCUCUGGAGGUCCGGUCGUGUGCUCGCCAGCAACCCCCAGUUUUUUUCAGGUUGACCUCGGAUCAGGUAGGGAUACCCGCUGAACUUAAGCAUAUCAAUAAGCGGAGGA